AGAGUUUGAUCCUGGCUCAGAAUCAACGCUGGCGGCGUGCCUAACACAUGCAAGUCGAACGAGAAAGUGGAGCAAUCCAUGAGUACAGUGGCGACCGGGUGAGUAACACGUGACUAACCUACCUCCGAGUGGGGAAUAACUCCGGGAAACCGGGGCUAAUACCGCAUAACAUCGCAAGAUCAAAGCAGCAAUGCGCUUGGAGAGGGGGUCGCGGCUGAUUAGCUAGUUGGCGGGGUAACGGCCCACCAAGGCGAAGAUCGGUAUCCGGCCUGAGAGGGCGCACGGACACACUGGAACUGAAACACGGUCCAGACUCCUACGGGAGGCAGCAGUGGGGAAUUUUGCGCAAUGGGGGAAACCCUGACGCAGCAACGCCGCGUGGAGGAUGAAGCCCUUUGGGGCGUAAACUCCUUUCGACUCGGACGAUAAUGACGGUACGAGUGGAAGAAGCACCGGCUAACUCUGUGCCAGCAGCCGCGGUAAUACAGAGGGUGCAAGCGUUGUUCGGAAUUAUUGGGCGUAAAGGGCGCGUAGGCGGUGCGGUAAGUCACCUGUGAAAUCUCCUGGCUU
This 570-nucleotide ribosomal RNA is filed under the name uncultured bacterium. RNAcentral's name for it is "bacterial SSU rRNA". It matches the Rfam family "Bacterial small subunit ribosomal RNA", at positions 8 to 610 of the family's 1533-position model. The record is from RNAcentral.